GUGGCUAUAGUUCAGUUGGUAGAACACCUGAUUGUGGUUCAGGACGUCGCCGGUUCAAGUCCGGUUAGCCACCCCA
RNAcentral lists this transfer RNA (76 nucleotides) under Candidatus Omnitrophota bacterium. Its description in RNAcentral is "tRNA-His". It matches the Rfam family "tRNA". Rfam says of the family: Transfer RNA (tRNA) molecules are approximately 80 nucleotides in length. Lineage: Bacteria; Pseudomonadati; Candidatus Omnitrophota. The record is from RNAcentral.